CGGACGGGUGAGUAACGCGUGGGUAACCUGCCUCAUACAGGGGGAUAACAGUUAGAAAUGACUGCUAAUACCGCAUAAGACCACAGCACUGCAUGGUGCAGUGGUAAAAACUCCGGUGGUAUGAGAUGGACCCGCGUCUGAUUAGCCAGUUGGCAGGGUAACGGCCUACCAAAGCGACGAUCAGUAGCCGGCCUGAGAGGGUGAACGGCCACAUUGGGACUGAGACACGGCCCAAACUCCUACGGAAGGCAGCAG
This 255-nucleotide ribosomal RNA is filed under the name uncultured bacterium. RNAcentral's name for it is "partial 16S ribosomal RNA". It matches the Rfam family "Bacterial small subunit ribosomal RNA", at positions 99 to 354 of the family's 1533-position model. The record is from RNAcentral.